Molecule: ribosomal RNA, 266 nt
Filed under: uncultured prokaryote
Description: partial 16S ribosomal RNA
Rfam family: Bacterial small subunit ribosomal RNA
Source: RNAcentral
UACAGAGGAUCCGAGCGUUAUCCGGAUUUAUUGGGUUUAAAGGGUGCGCAGGCGGGAGAUUAAGUCGGCGGUGAAAUUUUGCAGCUCAACUGUAAAAGUGCCUUCGAAACUGGUUUCCUUGAGUGUAGAUGAAGUAGGCGGAAUUUGUGGUGUAGCGGUGAAAUGCAUAGAUAUCACGAGGAACUCCGAUUGCGCAGGCAGCUUACUAAACUACUACUGACGCUCAGGCACGAAGGCGUGGGGAUCAAACAGGAUUAGAUACCCCU